AGAUUGAACGCUGGCGGCAGGCCUAACACAUGCAAGUCGAGCGGCAGCACGGGUACUUGUACCUGGUGGCGAGCGGCGGACGGGUGAGUAAUGCCUAGGAAUCUGCCUGAUAGUGGGGGAUAACGCUCGGAAACGGACGCUAAUACCGCAUACGUCCUACGGGAGAAAGCAGGGGACCUUCGGGCCUUGCGCUAUCAGAUGAGCCUAGGUCGGAUUAGCUAGGUUGGUGGGUAAUGGCUCACCAAGGCGACGAUCCGUAACUGGUCUGAGAGGAUGAUCAGUCACACUGGAACUGAGACACGGUCCAGACUCCUACGGGAGCAGCAGUGGGAAUUUGGACAA
This 342-nucleotide ribosomal RNA is filed under the name uncultured soil bacterium. Its description in RNAcentral is "bacterial SSU rRNA". It matches the Rfam family "Bacterial small subunit ribosomal RNA", at positions 26 to 371 of the family's 1533-position model. The record is from RNAcentral.